This 93-nucleotide non-coding RNA is filed under the name Platyophrya macrostoma. The record is from RNAcentral. Lineage: Eukaryota; Ciliophora; Colpodea; Cyrtolophosidida; Platyophryidae.
UGAGUAAAAAGCAAAAAAAAUAGGUGAGUCACGUCUCUUUUAUCAAUAAUGUGUGCCUCUUCUUUUUUUUUUUUUUUUUUUUUUUUUUCUUCC